CCCUUAGAUGUUCUGGGCCGCACGCGCGCUACACUGAUGCAUUCAACGAGUCUAAAACCUGCUCUGAUAGGGGUGGGUAAUCUUUUGAAUGUGCAUCGUGAUUGGGAUAGAUGGUUGCAAUUUUUCAUCUUCAACGAGGAAUGCCUAGUAAACGCAAGUCAUCAGCUUGCAUUGAUUACGUCCCUGCCCUUUGUACACACCGCCCGUCGCUCCUACCGAUUGAAUGAUCCGAUGAAUAUCAUGGAUUGAGGAUGCAAGCAGGUUCGCCUGUCUUCAUCUUCGAGAAGUGAAGUAAAUCUUAUCAUUUAGAGGAAGGAGAAGUCGUAACA
This 329-nucleotide ribosomal RNA is filed under the name uncultured eukaryote. RNAcentral describes it as "partial 18S ribosomal RNA". It matches the Rfam family "Eukaryotic small subunit ribosomal RNA", at positions 1470 to 1796 of the family's 1831-position model. The record is from RNAcentral.